UACGGGGGAUGCAAGCGUUAUCCGGAAUCAUUGGGCGUAAAGCGUCUGUAGGUGGCUUAAUAAGUCUGUUGUUAAAGACUGGGGCUUAACCCCAGGAAAGCAAUGGAAACUGUUAAGCUAGAGUGUGGUAGAGGUAGAGGGAAUUCCUAGUGUAGCGGUGAAAUGCGUAGAUAUUAGGAAGAACACCGGUGGCGAAAGCGCUCUACUGGGCCAUAACUGACACUCAGAGACGAAAGCUAGGGUAGCAAAUGGGAUUAGAUACCCCAGUAGUCCUAGCCGUAAACGAUGGAUACUAGAUGUCGCGUAACUUUUACAGUGUUUUAGCUAACGCGUUAAGUAUCCCGCCUGGGGAGUACACUCGCAAGGGUG
RNAcentral lists this ribosomal RNA (369 nucleotides) under uncultured phototrophic eukaryote. RNAcentral's name for it is "SSU rRNA". It matches the Rfam family "Bacterial small subunit ribosomal RNA", at positions 524 to 896 of the family's 1533-position model. The record is from RNAcentral.